UUAAUUUGAUUCAACGCGGAAAAAUUCACCUGGGCCGGACACCUGACAGAUCGAGAGCUCUUUCUUGAUUCUGUGGUUGGUGGGGCAUGGUCUUUCCUAGGGACCGUCUGUGAUUUCAAAGUAAAGCCAAGCUAAACGUCUUUACUAUUUUCGUGGUAACCCUUGGAAUUUGCACUUUUUUUUUUCAUCAUAUUCUUACAUUUCAGGGCG
RNAcentral lists this non-coding RNA (210 nucleotides) under Gongylonema pulchrum. RNAcentral describes it as "Eukaryotic small subunit ribosomal RNA". It matches the Rfam family "Eukaryotic small subunit ribosomal RNA", at positions 1190 to 1417 of the family's 1831-position model. Lineage: Eukaryota; Metazoa; Nematoda; Chromadorea; Rhabditida; Gongylonematidae. The record is from Rfam by way of RNAcentral.